GACAGAGGGUGCAAACGUUGUUCGGAUUUACUGGGCGUAAAGCGCGUGUAGGCGGCUUUGCAAGUCGGAUGUGAAAGCCCACGGCUCAACCGUGGAAGUGCAUCCGAAACUGCAUGGCUGGAGUCUCGGAGAGGAAGGUGGAAUGCUUGGUGUAGAGGUGAAAUUCGUAGAUAUCAGGAGGAACACCGGUGGCGAAGGCGGCCUUCUGGACACUAACUGACGCUGAGACGCGAAAGCGUGGGGAGCAAACAGG
Molecule: ribosomal RNA, 253 nt
Filed under: uncultured bacterium
Lineage: Bacteria
Description: partial 16S ribosomal RNA
Rfam family: Bacterial small subunit ribosomal RNA
Source: RNAcentral